UACCCACUCCCAGCACGGGGAGGUAGUGACGAAAAAUAACAAUACAAGACUCACAUCCGAGGCCUUGUAAUUGGAAUGAGUACACUUUAAAUCCUUUAACAAGGAUCAAUUGGAGGGCAAGUCUGGUGCCAGCAGCCGCGGUAAUUCCAGCUCCAAUAGCGUAUAUUAAAGUUGUUGCGGUUAAAACGUUCGUAGUUGAACUUGUGUUUCGCACGGGCAGUACCUAGGACUGGGCAACCAGGACGGUACCUUGUCUUACUUUCUUUCUAUUUCAUAGUUGGAAAAAGUGCGUGAACGUAUUAUCGGCGUGUUCGUUCUUGUAGCGUUCACAUAAGCUCAUAUCAGUCCUCUUAAACGAGUGUUGUUGUGGGCCGAUACACAUUACUUUGAACAAAUUAGAGUGCUUAAAGCAGGCUUGUAAUGCCUAUAUUAUCUGUGCAUGGAAUAAUGAAAUAGGACAUCUGUUCUACUUUCAUUGGUUUUUUAGACCAAGAUGUAAUGAUUAAUGGAAGCAGUUGGGGGCAUUAGUAUUACAACGCGAGAGGUGAAAUUCUUAGACCGUUGUAAGACUGACUAAAGCGAAAGCAUUUGCCAAAGAUGUUUUCACUUAAUCAAGAACGAAAGUUAGAGGUUCGAAGGCGAUCAGAUACCGCCCUAGUUCUAACCAUAAACGAUGCCAGCUAGCAAUUGAGUGUAGCUACUACUAUGGCUCUUUCAGUCGCUUCUCGGGAAACCAAAGCUUUUGGGCUCCGGGGGAAGUAUGGUUGCAAAGCUGAAACUUAAAGGAAUUGACGGAAGGGCACCACCAGGAGUGGAGCCUGCGGCUUAAUUUGACUCAACACGGGAAAACUUACCAGGUCCGAACAUAAAUGAGUAAGACAGAUUGAUAGCUCUUUCUCGAAUCUAUGGGUGGUGGUGCA
RNAcentral lists this ribosomal RNA (920 nucleotides) under Macrocera sp. ER-2009. RNAcentral's name for it is "SSU rRNA". It matches the Rfam family "Eukaryotic small subunit ribosomal RNA", at positions 442 to 1284 of the family's 1831-position model. The record is from RNAcentral. Lineage: Eukaryota; Metazoa; Arthropoda; Insecta; Diptera; Keroplatidae.